Lathyrus oleraceus (garden pea) is the source of this 1395-nucleotide long non-coding RNA. RefSeq lists it as uncharacterized. The transcript has 2 exons. The record is from RefSeq and is a predicted model, not a curated record. NCBI's taxonomy places the organism in Eukaryota, Viridiplantae, Streptophyta, Magnoliopsida, Fabales, Fabaceae.
AUGCACUCUAACCAACUAUUAUAUAGUGAAUGUCUUGAAAUCUCAGUUUUUUAUGAUACAAAAUUUGUCUCACAUGCGAGCCUCCCAGCAAGGGGCGCGAGACAAAUGAGUAAUUAUUUUUCACAACUUUAUCUAUUCUUCAUUCACGAGGUUGAUUGGGUGAGACAUGUGACACAUGGAUGCUUACUUUGGCAGUUGUGAGAGGUACUAAGUUUGCAAAUGAGUGACAUGAGUUCUAAAUGAGUGUGGAGAUUUUUUUUCAAAAAGAUCAAUUUUGGGUUAUGGAAUAUGAAGAUGUAAGCAAUCUUGAUUCAACAAAAAUGUGCAACAACAUUGAAAGGUGAUGUAUCGAUGUCAAAAAUCCUGCCACAAUUAGAUAAGACCAAGAUGAGUGUAAUUAUUUUGUGUCUCAGAGCUAAAGUAUUGAAGGAAAUCGCAAAUGAGAAGACCAAAGAGAAAAUAUGGGUAAAGUUUGAAUCAUUAUAUAUUACUAAGUCAUUGGAUCUUAAGUUGUGUCUGAAAUAACAAAUUUAUUCAUUUUGAAUGGUGGAGAACAAAUCGAUUUUGGAGCCAUUAACAUAAUUUCAUAAAAGUAUUGAUAACUUACAAAAUCUUAAGGUGAAAUUUAUGAUAAGGACGCCAAUUUACUCUUGUUGAGCUCAUUACCUAGAUAUUUUGAGAAUUUCAAGGAUAUCUUUCUUUAUGGUAGGACAAUCACUAUCACCUUAUAUCAAGUUCAAUUGACGAUUAUGACCAAUGAGCUUAAAAUGCUUAAGGACUUGAAGGUUGAAUAUAAUGGAGAAAACUUGAAUAUUUCAAGAGUGGGAGUAAGAGUAUAGGAAACCCAAAGUGUAGGAAAUCUAAGUCUAAGAUUAAGUCAAAGAUGUUUGAUAAAUUAAAGUACAAAAUGAUUCAUUUUUCAUAAAACCUAUCCUUCAAGAAGAACUCUCCCGAUAGGGGAGCAAGGGUGAUUAUGUUUAUAUUGUGGUUAUUUCAUACGAGGAUGAUUAUGAGAGUGUUUGUGAACUAGAGGUAAAUAUUUUGAAGACAUAAAAGAGUCAGAUAAUGGAACCUAGAUGCUUUUAUCAAAUGUGUCCAAGAAAGAAUAAUUUGAGACUUUGAAGUUAAACGAAGGUGGAUGUUCUACUCAGUAAGAAUAAGUCUUGUAAGAUUUAUGGUAUUGGAAUGAUUCAGAUUAAGAUGUUUUUGAAAAUUGUCAGUUCCUUUAAUGUAGUGUGAGGCAUGUUCCCAAAAUUAAAGAAAAUUAUUAUCCAUAAAUAUGUUUGGUUAUUCAGGAAAUUGCACUAGAAGUGAACAUUACAUGAUGCAAAUUUUGCAUAAUGUAUUGACAAUUACUAAAGAGUUUAAAAUAUGUAGUUUGUAUAUUUUGGAUAA